AGCAGCUAGAGAGGAAGUAGCUCUCUCUGAGCAAAGCUGUGAGGAGAGGCCUGACCGCAGGUACAGCCGAAGCCGGGUAUUGAAAACUGAAUCACUUUUCCUUUGUAAUCUGACCCAUCACUGACUCCAGAACAGUCUGCGGUGGAAUUAAUUGGUACCACGAUCAAGUACACAUUUUCAUCAAAUAACAGGGAGGACAAGACCCAGAUUGGUUCAUCUUUUACCUUUGAUAGGAGAAGCCAAAGAUGAAAUCUGAUUGGAGACUGAAUGACCCUUGUUCCCUGAAGCUGGCUUUCGGAACAUGAUGGUUUACAAUGAUGGAAUUAGGUUAGAAGCCAUGGACCAGUGUAUCAGGGUCAUAAUUUUGGUCAAGGGUCUGUGAACGGAUCUCGCAGGAUGCUGUAGUUGCCACAGGGAUUAGGGAACAAAAGGGAUUAUUAUUGGUAUUGGAGCUAAUUUUUGGCCCUGAGGGCAGGAACAGAUAAACGAAGGGAAGAUGCCUAAGGGAUCUCAGUGCACAGUGAAGGAAGCAGUUUUGCGCAAGUUGGCAAAAAUGAAGUAAUAAGAUUCAAACUUAUUCAAGAGGACAAGGCAAUCUCCAGUUUCAUUUCUGCCUGCUUUCUGACGAUCAGAACAGAAGAAAAGGAAAAAUGCAUCCCUCAUUAAGAACUUGGAUCUUCAGCUAGACCUUCCCAAGGAAAUUUUACAAUAAUAAAUCUUGCCACUUAAGCUUGUGCUUUGCCAAAACCAAAGUUAUAUUGGCCUUGAUGGUGGAACUUCUGUACACCUAAGAUUUUACUGUUGUUGCACAUACUUAGAAGGACCUACCAACUACCCUUAACUGCUUCACUUAGGCAAAGCUGUGCCUGGGACUGACCCUUAACAUCAGAAAAAUUAAAGAUGCUUCACCAACCUGCUCCAAGCCAGUUAACUACUCUGGCAAAGAUCCUCUUUGAGAGAGAGGAGCUGGAGAAUGUUGAAGACUUUGCAUACCUUAGCAGUGAUCUCUUAAAGCAGGCCAACAUUGCCAAGGAUCUGAUGUGCCAGCUCUGCCUUUGGAAGACUAUAUCAUUGUGUGUUCAAUG
Molecule: long non-coding RNA, 1085 nt
Organism: Alligator sinensis (Chinese alligator)
Lineage: Eukaryota; Metazoa; Chordata; Crocodylia; Alligatoridae
Exons: 4
Source: RefSeq, a predicted model, not a curated record